UACGUAGGGUGCGAGCGUUAAUCGGAAUUACUGGGCGUAAAGCGUGCGCAGGCGGUCUGUUAAGACCGAUGUGAAAUCCCCGGGCUUAACCUGGGAACUGCAUUGGUGACUGGCAGGCUUUGAGUGUGGCAGAGGGAGGUAGAAUUCCACGUGUAGCAGUGAAAUGCGUAGAGAUGUGGAGGAAUACCGAUGGCGAAGGCAGCCUCCUGGGCCAACACUGACGCUCAUGACACGAAAGCGUGGGGAGCAAACAGG
This 255-nucleotide ribosomal RNA is filed under the name uncultured bacterium. RNAcentral's name for it is "partial 16S ribosomal RNA". It matches the Rfam family "Bacterial small subunit ribosomal RNA", at positions 524 to 776 of the family's 1533-position model. The record is from RNAcentral.